This 256-nucleotide ribosomal RNA is filed under the name uncultured bacterium. RNAcentral's name for it is "partial 16S ribosomal RNA". It matches the Rfam family "Bacterial small subunit ribosomal RNA", at positions 524 to 777 of the family's 1533-position model. The record is from RNAcentral.
UACAGAGGUCUCAAGCGUUGUUCGGAUUCAUUGGGCGUAAAGGGUGCGUAGGCGGCGCGGUAAGUCGGGUGUGAAAUCUCGGGGCUUAACUCCGAAACUGCAUUCGAUACUGCCGUGCUUGAGGACUGGAGAGGAGACUGGAAUUUACGGUGUAGCGGUGAAAUGCGUAGAUAUCGUAAGGAAGACCAGUGGCGAAGGCGGGUCUCUGGACAGUUCCUGACGCUGGAGGCACGAAGGCCCAGGGGAGCAAAACGGG